AGGUGCGAGCGUUAAUCGGAAUUACUGGGCGUAAAGCGCAUGCAGGCGGCCCGUUAAGUCAGAUGUGAAAGCCCGGGGCUUAACCUCGGAAUUGCAUUUGAAACUGGCAGGCUAGAGUCUUGUAGAGGGGGUAGAAUUUCAGGUGUAGCGGUGAAAUGCGUAGAGAUCUGAAGGAAUACCAGUGGCGAAGGCGGCCCCCUGGACAAAGACUGACGCUCAGAUGCGAAAGCGUGGGGAGCAAACAGGAUUAGAUACCCUGGUAG
RNAcentral lists this ribosomal RNA (263 nucleotides) under uncultured bacterium. RNAcentral describes it as "partial 16S ribosomal RNA". It matches the Rfam family "Bacterial small subunit ribosomal RNA", at positions 530 to 793 of the family's 1533-position model. The record is from RNAcentral.